GNAGGGUGCGAGCGNNAUCCGGAANNAUUGGGCGUAAAGGGCNNGUAGGNGGCNGGUNGCGUCUGUCGUGAAAGCUCAUGGCNUAACNGUGGGNNUGCGGUGGGUACGGGCUGGCUUGAGUGCAGUAGGGGAGACUGGAAUNCCUGGUGUAGCGGUGGAAUGCGCAGAUAUCAGGAGGAAUACCGGUGGCGAAGGCGGGUCUCUGGGCUGUUACUGACGCUGAGGAGCGAAAGCGUGGGGAGCGAACAGGAUUAGAUACCCUGGUAGUCCAUGCUGUAAACGUUGGGAACUGGGUGUGGGGGGCUUUUUUGUCUUCUGCGUCGUAGCUAACGCGUUAAGUUCCCCGCCUGGGGAGU
This 356-nucleotide ribosomal RNA is filed under the name uncultured bacterium. RNAcentral's name for it is "partial 16S ribosomal RNA". It matches the Rfam family "Bacterial small subunit ribosomal RNA", at positions 527 to 881 of the family's 1533-position model. The record is from RNAcentral.